CUCUUAUCAAGAGUGGUGGAGGGAAUAGGCCCUUUGAAACCCGGCAACCUAAAAGCAAUAAUGAUUUGCUUUUUACGGUGCUAAAUCCUACAGACCUUAGAAAUGGUCUGGAAGAUAAGAG
This 121-nucleotide non-coding RNA is filed under the name Virgibacillus pantothenticus. Its description in RNAcentral is "SAM-I sequence". It matches the Rfam family "SAM riboswitch aptamer (S box leader)". From Rfam's summary of the family: The SAM riboswitch is found upstream of a number of genes which code for proteins involved in methionine or cysteine biosynthesis in Gram-positive bacteria. The SAM riboswitch acts at the level of transcription termination control. The record is from Rfam by way of RNAcentral. Lineage: Bacteria; Bacillati; Bacillota; Bacilli; Caryophanales; Bacillaceae.